Vigna umbellata (rice bean) is the source of this 466-nucleotide non-coding RNA. Lineage: Eukaryota; Viridiplantae; Streptophyta; Magnoliopsida; Fabales; Fabaceae. The record is from RefSeq and is a predicted model, not a curated record.
UCUUUUUAUUUUAAAUUGUUAACAAGAUAUAAAGAGGAAUUUAAUAACCUGUAAACAUGGGCUAAUGGUAAAUGUAGGUAAUGAAAGCAUAACAAUAGCAAGUUCCUUCAUUUGUUUGAUGUAACAUCCAAGCAAGAGGCAUGUCACAGUCUAACAGCUCAUCUUUUGUAGAGGAAAAUCGUUUAUUUACUGUGAGAGUUGAGUCUAUUCAGCCGUGAUAAAAUAUUGAGAUAUUUGAGGAUACUUGGUCGUUGGGAUUUUGAAAGAACUUACUUUGGACUUUUUGCGAGAUCGGCUGGCUGAAGUCCACACGGAGCAUCUUGACAGAGGCUGCAGAUUGAAACCCAAAUUUUGUAUGAAGACAAAAUUUAAUUUAACUGCAUUGUACAUUUCAUGUGAAGGUUGCGAUACAUUAGAGGUUGUGAUAUAAGUAUCAGAGGCUCAAAAUAUAUCAGAAUUUUCUUUA